CAAAAACUAAUUUGAGUGCCUACACAGAUGAACAUCGCAUAAAAAUCAAAAAUAAAAAACAGCAGCAGAGAUAAAAAAAAAGACAAUAAUUCUAAAAAAAUUUAAAUCAAAAGCUUAAGACUAACUCACAGGAAGUUCUGUGAGUUAAUUUUUUGGGCAAAAAAAAAUUCUAUUAAUGCAUUCUCAUACAAAAAAAAAUUCUUUAAAUACUGAUUUCAUGCGAUCCAGGAGCUAAGUGCUUAAAUCAGAAAAAUUUCUUUAACCCAGAUACUCUUAUAUUGCAGUGCAGCAAAGUUUUUCUUGAACGCUGACGAAUAUCACUCUGAAAUUAACCCAAAUAUAUCUCAGAGAUUGCAGAGAUUCAGACAAUCAAUAAUAAGAUGGCCGGAAUGUUCUUUAUUCAUUUGUCCUCCAUACUCUACCCUAAUCUUCUUAGGAUUUUAGUUAAACAACUUGCUCCUGUAACAGCUAUAUUAAAGCAUAAAUAUUCAUGAACACUCAUCACCAAUAGCAAAAAGGCAUAAAGUAUUUUUACAUAAAUCUAAAGAUCCCUUUUGUGUCCCAAACCCAGGUCUGUCCUCUCUUUGCCUUCCUCCUUCAGGGCAUAAUUAGAGAUACCCACCAACAGUAUAACCAGAAAAAUUGCAGUGAGAUUUUAAAGUACGAACUUUAUUUGAUAUUGCAAUGAAAUAUAACAAAAUGUAAAAAAAUUGUUAUUUUGGUAAUAGACAGUGGAAUAACAGAAGAAGCCGAACCCAGAAAAAUUAAAAACACAUAAUCACAGUAGAAGAAGCAAACCCAAGAAAAUACAUAAAAUAAAAUAAAAGGGUGCAACUUUUAUUGGCGGGUGAAUGAGUAGACAAUAAAAAAAAGUGCAAACUUUGAGUUCAAAACAAACCUCGUACCAUUGAAAUUUGAGACUUGGAGUCGCCCACGUGAAGGGUUUUAUGAGAAGACAGUAUUAGGCGUGCUGAAGUUAGUUUAUGCUUUUAGUUGUAAAUUCACAUCUAAUACUAGUUGAACACAAAUUUCAGCAAAUACACAGAAGAAAUAGCAAGAAUUCAUUUCAGAAAUGGGAAAAAAUUAAAUUAAAAAUAGAAAACAAAGGGCCGAAAAGCUGCAUACCUAAACACAAUUUCAUAUCUUUUUAUCCUCUUCGAGUACCGAUCCAUUCCAGAGAGAGGGAGAGAGGAGGAAGGAGACGACGAAGGGGGAGAGGAGGGAGAGGAAGGCGAGAGGAGGAAAACGACGGAGGCGAUUUACUGUCUGUGUUGUUCUCGCGGGGACUGCGAGAUGAACGAGGUGAGGAAUGACCAGGUGGCUCUGGGC
RNAcentral lists this long non-coding RNA (1329 nucleotides) under Malus domestica (apple). RNAcentral's name for it is "long non-coding RNA (MDOM_LNC003190)". The record is from RNAcentral. Lineage: Eukaryota; Viridiplantae; Streptophyta; Magnoliopsida; Rosales; Rosaceae.